RNAcentral lists this ribosomal RNA (492 nucleotides) under uncultured bacterium. Its description in RNAcentral is "partial 16S ribosomal RNA". It matches the Rfam family "Bacterial small subunit ribosomal RNA", at positions 29 to 507 of the family's 1533-position model. The record is from RNAcentral.
AGUGAACGCUGGCGGUAGGCCUAACACAUGCAAGUCGAACGGCAGCACAGUAAGAGCUUGCUCUUACGGGUGGCGAGUGGCGGACGGGUUAGGAAUACAUCUGAAUCUACUUUUUCGUGGGGGAUAACGUAGGGAAACUUACGCUAAUACCGCAUACGACCUACGGGUGAAAGCAGGGGAUCUUCGGACCUUGCGCGAUUGAAUGAGCCGAUGUCGGAUUAGCUAGUUGGCGGGGUAAAGGCCCACCAAGGCGACGAUCCGUAGCUGGUCUGAGAGGAUGAUCAGCCACACUGGAACUGAGACACGGUCCAGACUCCUACGGGAGGCAGCAGUGGGGAAUAUUGGACAAUGGGCGCAAGCCUGAUCCAGCCAUACCGCGUGGGUGAAGAAGGCCUUCGGGUUGUAAAGCCCUUUUGUUGGGAAAGAAAAGCAGCAGGUUAAUACCCCGCUGUUCUGACGGUACCCAAAGAAUAAGCACCGGCUAACUUCGUG